AACGAACGCUGGCGGCAUGCCUAACACAUGCAAGUCGAACGAGACCUUCGGGUCUAGUGGCGCACGGGUGCGUAACGCGUGGGAACCUGCCCUUAGGUUCGGAAUAACUCCCCGAAAGGGGUGCUAAUACCGGAUAAUGUCUUCGGACCAAAGAUUUAUCGCCUUUGGAUGGGCCCGCGUUGGAUUAGCUAGUUGGUAGGGUAAAAGCCUACCAAGGCGACGAUCCAUAGCUGGUCUGAGAGGAUGAUCAGCCACACUGGGACUGAGACACGGCCCAGACUCCUACGGGGGGCAGCAGUGGGGAAUAUUGGAAAAGGGGCGAAAGCCUGAUCCAGCAAUGCCGGGUGGGUGAUGAAGGCCUUGGGGUUGUAAAGCUUUUUUACCCGGGAUGAUAAGGACAGUACCGGGAGAAUAAGCUCCGGCUAACUCCGG
RNAcentral lists this ribosomal RNA (432 nucleotides) under uncultured bacterium. RNAcentral describes it as "partial 16S ribosomal RNA". It matches the Rfam family "Bacterial small subunit ribosomal RNA", at positions 29 to 506 of the family's 1533-position model. The record is from RNAcentral.